GCUUAAAAUAAAUACAAUAAACAUUUAAAUACAGCAUUAAGUGAUUAAUAACUUCAGCUAUGCAUUUAAUUUAUAUACUUAGAUUUUAUUCUAUUCCUUUUUGGCAGCAUUGCAUUGCAUUUUCAAGGAUAUAAUUUUCUUUAGGAAAGUAACAGGAGAUGUCCAGCUCGAAAAGCACCUUCAUCUGUUAUAGCAACAUUGGAGGAUUGUAGAGAAGCAGCAAACUGGACAAAUGGUGUCAGUACAACAAAUACAAAGUCUAUCCCAUCAGCCCCUGUUGAAUGGUAGACCAGCAUGUUUUUGGGAAGUCGUGGCCUAAUGGUUAGAGGGUUGGACUCCCAAUCGAAGGGUUGUGGGUUCUAGUCUCGGGCUGGGCGGAAUUGUGGGUGGGGGGGAGUGCAUGUACAGUUCUCUCUCCACCUUCAAUACCACGACUUAGGUGCCCUUGAGCAAGGCAUCAAACCCCCAACUGCUCCCCGGGCGCCGCAGCAAAAAUGGCUGCCCACUGCUCCGGGUGUGUGCUCACAGUGUGUGUGUGUGUGUGUGUGUUCACUGCUCUGUGUGUGUGCAUUUCGGAUGGGUUAAAUGCAGAGCACAAAUUCUGAGUGUGGGUCACCAUACUUGGCUGAAUGUCACUUCACUUUUUCACUUUCACUUCUAAUUUCCAUACAGGAUUCAUAGACUGUAGAGGACAUGAGAGGACGUCAGACAUCAAACAUUGCCUACAGAAUUCGGCACCCGGCCCAAAGCUGGAUGGACUCCAUGUGUUGGAAAUGGUUUUGGGUAGUGUACCUAAAAUCUUCAACAGAUUACAUUUUGUAUCCUAGCCAGUUCAGCUGCAGAAUAUGCUAGCAGCUGUUGUAUUGCUUUAAAAUAAAUGAAGUGCUGUUCUUUCCUCAUUCAAUUUUGUGCAUCUGUCCAUUUCUAAUAUUUAUUUUUUUAAUCCUAUCAUUUUGAAAUCAAUUUUACUAAAACAUGCUUUAAAACAAUCUUUUAUUUAAAAUUAUAUUGUUUUUAAAUGCCUCCAAUGCUUUUUCAAAUGUUACAGAUGACAGAGAAUGAGGUUUUAAAAGAAUUAUUCCCUGCAAAAGUACUGUUAAAACAUCUGACUCUGAUCAUGACACUAACUCAUUCACUUUGAAAUGUUUUUUCCAUCCUCACGGCUAAAUUGCAUCACUCCACACCAACAUAUCGCUCUGGAACUUACAAUUUGAUUCCAUACUGCAUACUGCAUAUACUGCAGCUAAAAUUGCUAAUAUUUUUUCGUCUUACAAAUAAAACUCAUAAAUGGUCAUGUCUGAAGGUCCAGUGUAGUGUCCUUACUACUGACAAAUGUAUAUCAUUGAUUGUGUUCUGUGUGUGUGUGUGUGUGUGUGUGUGUGUGUGUGUGUGUGUAUCACAGUACUCAAACUAUCCUCAGGGUGCCUCUGUUGUGUCAUGAAUACAAUUUCAGUCAGCAAAUGAAAGUAAAAGCGCAUUGAAAAUAAUUGUAAUCAGAAUUGAUUUGUUUGACAAUGACAGUUACUCCACCCCAGGAUACUCGACCCCAAAAUUACAAUUUUGUCAUUAAUCACUAACCCCCAUGUUGUUCCAAACCCUUAAAAGCUUUGUUCAUCUUCGUAACACAAUUUAAGAUAUUUUGAAUGAAAACCAGUAGGCUUGUGACUGUCCCAUAGACUGCCAAGUAAAUUACACUGUCAAGGUCCAGAAAAGUAUGGAAGACAUCGUCAGAAUAGUACGCUCUUCUGUGUCAGCUGUGCUGCAGGGAUGUGCUGUCUUCAUUCAAAUAAAAGCGUAAAUACAUGUAGAAAACGUAUCUUUGUGGCUGACACUGAAGAGCGUAUGCUGCUUGCGUUCAGCAUAUUUUCUCCAAAAUAGUACUACGGUGAUGCAGAGAGGAAUUGUUGAAUCAAGUCCUUAUUUUUGUUUUCUUUGCGUACAAAAACUAUUCUCGUCACUUCAUAACAUUACGGUUGAACCACCCCAGACUCCAACAUAGUGUUGGCCCAGAUCUGGUGCACAUCUGGCCCAUGUGAAAUCCAUGCGGGCCACAUGUGUGCUGGAUCUGGG
This is a long non-coding RNA of Carassius auratus (goldfish), 2070 nucleotides long. The record is from Ensembl. Lineage: Eukaryota; Metazoa; Chordata; Actinopteri; Cypriniformes; Cyprinidae.